Molecule: transfer RNA, 98 nt
Rfam family: tRNA
About the family: Transfer RNA (tRNA) molecules are approximately 80 nucleotides in length.
Source: Rfam
UCCAAUGUGGUGUAGUGGCUAACAUUGCUGUCUUUCAUACAGUAAAGCAGAAUACAUGAAUUGCACAGCAGCCCGGGGUUCGAUUCCCCGCAUUGGAA